GUUGAAGACGGGGGAUACACCCCCUGCAGUGA
Molecule: transfer RNA, 32 nt
Filed under: Macaca fascicularis (crab-eating macaque)
Lineage: Eukaryota; Metazoa; Chordata; Mammalia; Primates; Cercopithecidae
Description: partial tRNA-Lys
Source: RNAcentral